Molecule: ribosomal RNA, 404 nt
Filed under: Verrucomicrobiota bacterium
Lineage: Bacteria; Pseudomonadati; Verrucomicrobiota
Description: Verrucomicrobia bacterium partial 16S ribosomal RNA
Rfam family: Bacterial small subunit ribosomal RNA
Source: RNAcentral
UGGGGAAUAUCGCACAAUGGGCGCAAGCCUGAUGCAGCAACGCCGCGUGAACGAUGAAGGUCUUCGGAUCGUAAAGUUCUGUUGCAGGGGAAGAUAAUGACGGUACCCUGUGAGGAAGCCCCGGCUAACUACGUGCCAGCAGCCGCGGUAAUACGUAGGGUGCGAGCGUUGUCCGGAAUUACUGGGCGUAAAGAGCUCGUAGGCGGUUUGUCACGUCGUCUGUGAAAUCCUAGGGCUUAACCCUGGACGUGCAGGCGAUACGGGCUGACUUGAGUACUACAGGGGAGACUGGAAUUUCUGGUGUAGCGGUGGAAUGCACAGAUAUCAGGAAGAACACCGAUGGCGAAGGCAGGUCUCUGGGUAGUAACUGACGCUGAGGAGCGAAAGCAUGGGUAGCGAACAGG